AUUGAACGCUGGCGGCAGGCCUAACACAUGCAAGUCGAACGAGUGGCGGACGGGUGAGUAAUUGCUGAGAAACUGCCUGAUGGAGGGGGCUAACUACUGUAAACGUUAGCUAAUACCGCAUACCAUCAUUUGUGGCGUGAUGGGAUUAGCUAGUUGGUGGGGUAACGGCUCACCAAGGCGACGAUCCCUAGCUGGUCUGAGAGGAUGACCAGCAACACUGGAACUGAGACACGGCCCAGACUCCUACGGGAGGCAGCAGUGGGGAAUAUUGCACAAUGGGCGCAAGCCUGAUGCAGCCAUGCCGCGUGUAUGAAGAAGGCUUUCGGGUUGUAAAGUACUUUCAGCGGGGAGGCGUUACCCGAAGAAGAAGCACCGGCUAACUCCGUGCCAGCCGCCGCGGUAAUUC
This 406-nucleotide ribosomal RNA is filed under the name uncultured bacterium. Its description in RNAcentral is "partial 16S ribosomal RNA". It matches the Rfam family "Bacterial small subunit ribosomal RNA", at positions 30 to 526 of the family's 1533-position model. The record is from RNAcentral.